UAGAGCAAGACUGUCUCAAAAAAAAGAGGUGAAAUUCCCCCACGCCUCAUAUCUUAAAAGGACUACCUCAUGUCCUAAAAGGAUGACAUGUCCUCAUGUCCUAAAACAACUACCUACCGUGCUGUCUAACUCUCUGCCUUUAUGUCUUCGUUUCCCUUUGGCUGCCUGGCUCCAGCCACACUGGCCUUAAUAUUCUGUACUGGGCCAUGCCCCUUCCUGCUGCAGGGACUUUGAAUUUGCUGUGUCCUCUGCUGAGAACAUUCCCUCUGAAGAUUCAGAACGCUUUGUACUGCUCCAACACCAAAUAUUUAAUCGUCAGUCUAAUCUUGGAUAUUUGAAAUCUUCUCCAUACAUAUCAUGAGAUACUCUUUGCAAGAAUAAGCUUUUGUUUCACUACCAAGAGGUGAGUGCAUUUUGAAAUCCACUGGAACCUCACAGGUAUUGAAUCUCUUCUGUGCACGUUUGGAUGUGGAAAAUGGAAACUUGUAAGUCUACGAAAACUAAACCAGAGCAGGUUUUAUAGUUGGGCCUAAAAUACAGUUUCUAGGGUUCACCUGAAAAAUAUUUUCUAUUUUUUCCUGGAUUUUAUUGCAAAUGUUUUGUCGUUGUUUUGAUUUUGUUUUUUGCCUACACCUGGGUUUGAUUCCUCCACUAUUAGGUACUCACUGUGCUGUGAUGGUUUGAAUGCAGGUUUGGCCUCUUCUCCAGGCUGUGACUACCGGGAAGACAGGGCACCUGUCCUGUUCACCUUUGCAUCUCUGGUGUCUCACUCAGGAUAGGGCACGGUGCUUGCCAAGGACCUGCUGCUGGAGCUGAGAACCUAAUGAUCACAGUGUCAGCCUCUGCCAGCCUUUGUGUGUGUGGCAGGGGUGGUUUUGAGUCCCACCAUCUUCCAUCCCUGAUGCUUGGAGAAACUGAGGACACACAGGUUUCGAAGAUAUAAAUUUUGAGACCCAGAAUUUUUAGGAGUAUUUUAAGACUCCAAAGAUAAGAAUCCUUAAAAACUAACUGUGGAAUGAGAAACACUGCCACCAGAAACAAGAUAAGCGCCUUGCGGGGACUCAACUGACUGCUGGGUUCGAUGGUUCAAAGAGAAAAAGCACAUGAUGACUUUGAAGGAGGCUGCCUGGCUGAGCUGAUCAGAUCACCUAGAGACUGGAAAUGCUUUCUGGAAUCAUCUGAAAUGAGAAGAUUCCAUCUUUCUAGCUGCAUUUUCUUGGUCAUAAGUUAAGAAGAGUCUGCACAAUAUGUUUUGUUUGAAUGUGGAGUGCGAGGUUAGAAAGUAUUUUACAUUGCAGGUUUCUGUGGUAAUAAUAUUUAGAAUAAAUAAAUUCGUGAUUAUUCGACGUGA
Long non-coding RNA from Nomascus leucogenys (northern white-cheeked gibbon), 1351 nucleotides. RefSeq lists it as uncharacterized. The record is from RefSeq and is a predicted model, not a curated record. The transcript has 5 exons. Lineage: Eukaryota; Metazoa; Chordata; Mammalia; Primates; Hylobatidae.